UCCUCAGGAAACUUAAGAGGUGAUCAAAGG
This 30-nucleotide non-coding RNA is filed under the name Macaca fascicularis (crab-eating macaque). The record is from RNAcentral. Lineage: Eukaryota; Metazoa; Chordata; Mammalia; Primates; Cercopithecidae. RNAcentral also lists the same sequence under 1 other name.